GGACUCACCUCCUCACAACCUUCCGACCGUCUUCUUUGAAUCUCAUCAUGAUACAUUGGAUGAAACCGCGUUUGAAAAGCUCUAUAAAGAAAAUAAGGUAACAGGGUCGACACAACCACCAAGAAAGUGGUCAUCCAAUAAAACGGGCUCGGUGCACACGCUUCCACAAACACCCGAUAAGCUGUUGUUGACCAUAGGGGGUUUAUGUACCCAUAUAUCACUAGAAAUACGUACCAAAAGAAGAUACUGCCCCAGAUGAAGAAGUGUUGAAUCCAGGUGAAGUAGUUUAUGGAUAGCGCCAUUUGGCAGUUGACAGCCCACACUACACAAGUGUACAUUAGGACACCGAGGAUUUCGUAAUCGAUGACGUGGCCGUCUUCACGGAAAGCUUGGUGGAUUGUGGAGUUCUUGCAAAUGAAGAAGAUGAUCAUGGAACUUAGAACACCGUUGAACAUCCAUCCGAGGAUUCUUGGCCAGUUGAAGAGGAUGUUUUGCACUCCCUCUUGAUAUAGCAAUGGGUACUGACAAAUUUGAAUUACGGGUCAGAGUCGUGCGGACACAUCUUGAUCAAAAACACCAAGAGCAAUGACAGGAAGUGAGGUGAAGAAAACAUUGUAGAAUGACAUGUACCAAUCGUUGUAAGCGGGUUGGCCAGAGAAAGAAGCAUGGGCUUCAAACCAUAAAAGUGUGAACCCGAAAGCAAUGUUUUUGUAGAAGAAGUAACAUAUCUGGAUUCAAAAAACAAAUAUAUCAUUUAAUUUCUACUUAUGUGACAUACUUGAUGUUUUUAAUAAAGAAAAAG
RNAcentral lists this long non-coding RNA (802 nucleotides) under Helianthus annuus (common sunflower). Its description in RNAcentral is "hypothetical non coding rna". The record is from RNAcentral. Lineage: Eukaryota; Viridiplantae; Streptophyta; Magnoliopsida; Asterales; Asteraceae.